Molecule: transfer RNA, 70 nt
Filed under: Dalbulus maidis (maize leafhopper)
Lineage: Eukaryota; Metazoa; Arthropoda; Insecta; Hemiptera; Cicadellidae
Description: tRNA-His
Source: RNAcentral
AUUUAAGUAGUUUAUAUGUAAAAUUUAGGUUUGUGGUUUCUAAGAAGUAGGUUAUAUUUUGCCUUAAAUU